RNAcentral lists this ribosomal RNA (243 nucleotides) under uncultured Actinomycetales bacterium. RNAcentral describes it as "partial 16S ribosomal RNA". It matches the Rfam family "Bacterial small subunit ribosomal RNA", at positions 88 to 334 of the family's 1533-position model. Lineage: Bacteria; Bacillati; Actinomycetota; Actinomycetes; Actinomycetales. The record is from RNAcentral.
UACUCGAGUGGCGAACGGGUGAGUAACACGUGGGUGAUCUGCCCUGCACUUCGGGAUAAGCCUGGGAAACUUGGUCUAAUACCGGAUAGGAGCCAUUUUUAGUGUGAUGGUUGGAAAGUUUUUUCGGUGUAGGAUGAGCUCGCGGCCUAUCAGCUUGUUGGUGGGGUAAUGGCCUACCAAGGCGGCGACGGGUAGCCGGCCUGAGAGGGUGGACGGCCACAUUGGGACUGAGAUACGGCCCAG